UAAGGAAUAUUGGUCAAUGGAGGCAACUCUGAACCAGCCAUGCCGCGUGAAGGAUGAAGGCCCUCUGGGUUGUAAACUUCUUUUAUAGGGGAAGAAAUCCAAGAAUUCUUUUUUGGUUGACGGUACCUUAGGAAUAAGCACCGGCUAACUCCGUGCCAGCAGCCGCGGUAAUACGGAGGGUGCAAGCGUUAUCCGGAUUCACUGGGUUUAAAGGGUGCGUAGGUGGGCUUGUAAGUCAGUGGUGAAAUCUCCGGGCUUAACCCGGAAACUGCCAUUGAUACUAUAGGUCUUGAAUUAUCUGGAGGUCAGCGGAAUAUGUCAUGUAGCGGUGAAAUGCUUAGAUAUGACAUAGAACACCAAUUGCGAAGGCAGCUGGCUACAGGUUGAUUGACACUGAGGCACGAAAGCGUGGGGAUCAAACAGG
RNAcentral lists this ribosomal RNA (424 nucleotides) under uncultured bacterium. RNAcentral's name for it is "bacterial SSU rRNA". It matches the Rfam family "Bacterial small subunit ribosomal RNA", at positions 355 to 776 of the family's 1533-position model. The record is from RNAcentral.